This 253-nucleotide ribosomal RNA is filed under the name uncultured bacterium. RNAcentral's name for it is "partial 16S ribosomal RNA". It matches the Rfam family "Bacterial small subunit ribosomal RNA", at positions 524 to 776 of the family's 1533-position model. The record is from RNAcentral.
UACAGAGGGUGCAAGCGUUAAUCGGAAUUACUGGGCGUAAAGCGCACGUAGGCGGUUUUUUAAGUCAGAUGUGAAAGCCCCGGGCUCAACCUGGAAAUUGCAUUUGAAACUGGGGAACUAGAGUGUGUGAGAGGGGGGUAGAAUUCCAAGUGUAGCGGUGAAAUGCGUAGAGAUUUGGAGGAAUACCAGUGGCGAAGGCGGCCCCCUGGCACAACACUGACGCUCAGGUGCGAAAGCGUGGGGAGCAAACAGG